GGGUUGUGAGGUUAAGCGACUAAGCGUACACGGUGGAUGCCCUGGCAGUCAGAGGCGAUGAAGGGCGUGCUAAUCUGCGAUAAGCGCCGGUAAGGUGAUAUGAACCGUUAUAACCGGCGAUACCCGAAUGGGGAAACCCAGUGUGAUUCGUCACACUAUCAUUAACUGAAUCCAUAGGUUAAUGAGGCGAACCGGGGGAACUGAAACAUCUAAGUACCCCGAGGAAAAGAAAUCAACCGAGAUUCCCCCAGUAGCGGCGAGCGAACGGGGAGGAGCCCAGAGCCUGAAUCAGCAUGUGUGUUAGUGGAAGCGUCUGGAAAGGCGCGCGAUACAGGGUGACAGCCCCGUACACAAAAGCGCAUGUGCUGUGAGCUCGAUGAGUAGGGCGGGACACGUGGUAUCCUGUCUGAAUAUGGGGGGACCAUCCUCCAAGGCUAAAUACUCCUGACUGACCGAUAGUGAACCAGUACCGUGAGGGAAAGGCGAAAAGAACCCCGGCGAGGGGAGUGAAAAAGAACCUGAAACCGUGUACGUACAAGCAGUGGGAGCACAGGUUUACCUGUGUGACUGCGUACCUUUUGUAUAAUGGGUCAGCGACUUAUAUUCUGUAGCAAGGUUAACCGAAUAGGGGAGCCGGAGGGAAACCGAGUCUUAAUUGGGCGUUAAGUUGCAGGGUAUAGACCCGAAACCCGGUGAUCUAGCCAUGGGCAGGUUGAAGGUUGGGUAACACUAACUGGAGGACCGAACCGACUAAUGUUGAAAAAUUAGCGGAUGACCUGUGGCUGGGGGUGAAAGGCCAAUCAAACCGGGAGAUAGCUGGUUCUCCCCGAAAGCUAUUUAGGUAGCGCCUCGUGAAUUCAUCUCCGGGGGUAGAGCACUGUUUCGGCUAGGGGGCCAUCCCGGCUUACCAACCCGAUGCAAACUGCGAAUACCGGAGAAUGUUAUCACGGGAGACACACGGCGGGUGCUAACGUCCGUCGUGAAGAGGGAAACAACCCAGACCGCCAGCUAAGGUCCCAAAGUCAUGGUUAAGUGGGAAACGAUGUGGGAAGGCCCAGACAGCCAGGAUGUUGGCUUAGAAGCAGCCAUCAUUUAAAGAAAGCGUAAUAGCUCACUGGUCGAGUCGGCCUGCGCGGAAGAUGUAACGGGGCUAAACCAUG
RNAcentral lists this ribosomal RNA (1160 nucleotides) under Salmonella enterica subsp. enterica serovar Newport. RNAcentral describes it as "partial 23S ribosomal RNA". It matches the Rfam family "Bacterial large subunit ribosomal RNA", at positions 1 to 1191 of the family's 2925-position model. The record is from RNAcentral. RNAcentral also lists the same sequence under 1 other name. Lineage: Bacteria; Pseudomonadati; Pseudomonadota; Gammaproteobacteria; Enterobacterales; Enterobacteriaceae.